UACGAAGGGGGCUAGCGUUGCUCGGAAUCACUGGGCGUAAAGGGUGCGUAGGCGGGUCUUUAAGUCAGGGGUGAAAUCCUGGAGCUCAACUCCAGAACUGCCUUUGAUACUGAAGAUCUUGAGUUCGGGAGAGGUGAGUGGAACUGCGAGUGUAGAGGUGAAAUUCGUAGAUAUUCGCAAGAACACCAGUGGCGAAGGCGGCUCACUGGCCCGGUACUGACGCUGAGGUGCGAAAGCGUGGAGAGCAAACAGG
RNAcentral lists this ribosomal RNA (253 nucleotides) under uncultured bacterium. Its description in RNAcentral is "partial 16S ribosomal RNA". It matches the Rfam family "Bacterial small subunit ribosomal RNA", at positions 524 to 776 of the family's 1533-position model. The record is from RNAcentral.